ACGUGAGAAUUUACCUUUAGGAGGGGGAUAACAAUUGGAAACGAAUGCUAAUACCCCAUAUGCUUUCGAGUGAAAUGGAUUUAUAUUUAUUCGCCUGGAGAGAAGCUCGCGGCUGAUUAGCUUGUUGGUAAGGUAAGAGCUUACCAAGGCGACGAUCAGUAUCUGGUUUGAGAGGACGAUCAGACACACUGGAACUGAGACACGGUCCAGACUCCUACGGGAGGCAGCAGUGGGGAAUUUUCCGCAAUGGGCGAAAGCCUGACGGAGCAAUACAGCGUGAGGGAAGACUGCCUAUGGGUU
Molecule: ribosomal RNA, 300 nt
Filed under: uncultured bacterium
Lineage: Bacteria
Description: bacterial SSU rRNA
Rfam family: Bacterial small subunit ribosomal RNA
Source: RNAcentral